Molecule: ribosomal RNA, 540 nt
Filed under: Hansenula anomala
Lineage: Eukaryota; Fungi; Ascomycota; Saccharomycetes; Phaffomycetales; Wickerhamomycetaceae
Description: Wickerhamomyces anomalus partial large subunit ribosomal RNA
Rfam family: Eukaryotic large subunit ribosomal RNA
Source: RNAcentral
GGCGAGUGAGCGGCAAAAGCUCAAAUUUGAAAUCUAGCACCUUCGGUGUUCGAGUUGUAAUUUGAAGAUGGUAACCUUGGGUUUGGCUCUUGUCUAUGUUCCUUGGAACAGGACGUCAUAGAGGGUGAGAAUCCCGUCUGAUGAGAUGCCCAUUCCUAUGUAAGGUGCUAUCGAAGAGUCGAGUUGUUUGGGAAUGCAGCUCUAAGUGGGUGGUAAAUUCCAUCUAAAGCUAAAUAUUGGCGAGAGACCGAUAGCGAACAAGUACAGUGAUGGAAAGAUGAAAAGAACUUUGAAAAGAGAGUGAAAAAGUACGUGAAAUUGUUGAAAGGGAAGGGCAUUAGAUCAGACUUGGUGUUUUACGAUUAUCUUCUCUUCUUGAGUUGUGCACUCGUAUUUCACUGGGCCAGCAUCGAUUCGGAUGGCAAGAUAAUGGCAGUUGAAUGUGGCUUCACUUCGGUGGAGUGUUAUAGCUUCUGCUGAUAUUGCCUGUCUGGAUCGAGGGCUGCGUCUUUUGACUAGGAUGCUGGCGUAAUGAUCUAA